This 254-nucleotide ribosomal RNA is filed under the name uncultured bacterium. RNAcentral describes it as "partial 16S ribosomal RNA". It matches the Rfam family "Bacterial small subunit ribosomal RNA", at positions 524 to 776 of the family's 1533-position model. The record is from RNAcentral.
UACAGAGGUCUCAAGCGUUGUUCGGAUUUAUUGGGCGUAAAGAGCUCGUAGGUGGUUCGGUAAGUCGGAUGUGAAAUCUCCAGGCUCAACCUGGAGGGGUCAUUCGAUACUGCUGUGACUAGAGUCCGGUAGGGGAGCGUGGAAUUCCUGGUGUAGCGGUGAAAUGCGCAGAUAUCAGGAGGAACACCAGCGGCGAAGGCGGCGCUCUGGGCCGGAACUGACGCUGAGGAGCGAAAGCGUGGGGAGCAAACAGG